This is a non-coding RNA of Lolium perenne, 2512 nucleotides long. The record is from RefSeq and is a predicted model, not a curated record. Lineage: Eukaryota; Viridiplantae; Streptophyta; Magnoliopsida; Poales; Poaceae.
GAGUAAUGACUUGAAAAAUCGUCCAGCACUUCAACCUCCCUUCAUUUUCCCAACCCCAGGGCGCAACCCUCCCUCCUCCCUCGCGCGUCCUGCGCCGCCGCCGCUUGGAGUCUUGGAGAGUGGAGCCCCUCUUCUCCAGCCCUCGAUGGCGACCUCUCCUGCGCCAACCUCCUCCCGUCGUUCCCUGUCCUUGGGAACGCCAGAUGCCGCCUCCGCGACGUGACGCCGCCGCCGCCCCGGAGCCCCAUGCUUUCCAAGAUCUGCCUCUUGUUGGCGGCCGCCAGCAGCCCCUUCAGGGAGCCCCACGACUCGGCAUCGUCCCUAAGGACACCCCAUGGCGAUGACGGUCGGCAGGCCGCGGUGGUGGACGGGAGCCACAGGGCCGACGCUCUUCCCGGCGCUAUGCUCUGCUCCCACCAGCCACUCACCUUCCUCGGCCUGCACCGCACCGGCACUUGGGGUAACCAUUCAUAGGCUGGUCAAAUCAUGUCAAGUUCAUUUGUCUGCAGACUUUUCAGAUCAAAUGAUGGAGAGGUCUCUUGGGUUGCUCAUGCAAAUAUUUGUGAAGCUGUUCCUCACCAUGGAGGUUGACAUGGAGCAGGUUGACGUGUUGUAUUUCCUUACUUUUCUUUUCAAGAUUCAUGGAGCAGGUUGACGUGAUCUUACUUUGCUUCAUCUUCAGAGAAGGCCAUGAGGAGUCGAGUAUGAGAAGUUGAUACCCAUAUUUCCACUAUUUAGUUCUGCAGCUAUAUGAGUACUGAUACUAAUAAAAAAGAAAGCUAAUUUUGUUUCUUCUAUGGGUGAUACAGCUAAAGUCAGGAGAUUGUAUGACAUUGCAAAUGUGUUGUCUUCACUGAAGCUCAUUCAGAAGGUAGGCUACAAUAAAAUUACUGACAAGCCGGCUGCACUUGAGUGUUAAGCGAUGUUUCUGAAUCUGUUCUUGAAUCUUGUCAGUCCGAUAGGUACCGAGCGGCUCGACAAUAUUAUGUCAUAUUAAGCGUUGAACAGCUAUAUGCAUCUUUUUUUUUCUUAUUGCCCUCUUCUAGAGGUUGCAAGUACUAACAUUAUAUGUGUUCCAUGAAAAUUAGUGUUCCAUGCAUAUGUGUGAUUUUGAAAUACUAGCUGUAGGAUGCAUCUAUUUUCGAUAACUUCACUGCAGGAGUCUCCUACUGCUUAAUGGAUUGAAGAAAAUAGCGUGUCUUCACAUCGGCAUCUGAUUCAGUUCCUGCGAACAGAGGAAGAUGCUAGAAGCUUUUGCGUCGGGAACUCUUCCACGACUGCAUGUUAUAUUGACAGCAAUAGCUGCUUGAUGCGUCUACUUGAGCGAUUUAGCAUGGCGUGGAGAAAACAAGAUGGAAAGCAUUAAUGAUUGUGUCCAUGAGUGUGCUUUGUUGCUGGUUGGGGAUAUUCUUUGGAGAGGAGACUCAUCAGCUCCUCUAUUGUUGAUAUGAUAGGUAUUUCCAUCUUUUGCUGAUACACAUCUAUGUUAUGGGUGCCUGGUUAGUUAGUUUUUCUCCCUUCAAUGUUGGUACAAUGAGGACAUGCAAAAUAUGGGCUUAAUUUCUGAGAUGAAAAUUUAGUGUGGAUGGCCAUGUCUUUUUUUUUGCGGGUAGUGUGGAUGGUGUCUACCUCCCUUUCAGAACCCCCUCACGGACAUCCAUGUCGCGAGAGCGUGUCAAUGUGCGUGUAGUGCUGCGAAUCGUGGAGGGACAGGUGCAUGGGGAUGACACGAGUCAGUGGGAAUGGGAAUAGGGAUGUGAAGCGACUAUCCUUGCUGCUUGGGGAGGGGGGAUCGGAACGACGACGACCGCGUCGGGGAGGAGUCUGUGGAAACACAGAAUUCAGCGAACAAAGAAACGAACUAAAGUAAUGAACAUGAUACUGGAAUUACUUUGCUUCGUUGAGAAUUCUCUCGGCCCUUCUAUUUUUUUACCCAUCAGGCACUAUUUUAUUCACAUGUAAAAUUUGGGCCAUCGAUGAGCCUACAGAACAGAUCUCCAAGCAUGUAGUUUUUAAAAUAAGCCAAGGAUAACGACAAGAAAGACUCAUCAUUUUCCUUUGCACGGUGCAGAAAGAUGCACUGCUAAUGAUUUACUGGAGCUUUUUGGUCGUCUUUGGCUGAUGUUUUCCUAGGUUUUCAUCCAUUAGAAGGCCUAAAUAAUUCAAUGGUUAUGAUUAGUGCUACAGUAUUUCUAUUAUUAAAAAAAUCCACUGUGUUCUAACUUCUAGAUCCGGUAUAGAAGACAUUUGAUAACAUGUCUAUGUAUUUUAGUUUGGCUCCCACUACUAUCAAGCAUAGGUGUGGAAAUACUUGACAAUGAGAUUGAUGAGAUAUUUUAGCAGGAACAAGUUAAGUUCUUGAUUGGCAGGACACACCACCUCCUCCGCCGGCUAACUAAGAGAAGCCUGGGUUAUCCGCAAAUUCUGAGUUUAGUCAUGUAAAAUAGUACUCCAUGUAUGUGGAUUAUUUUAAAAUACAAAUGAUAGAUGCAUCUAUUUUUUGACAACUUCA